AGGUACCACUCGUCCACUCCGGUUGUUGCGCGCCGUCCGCACCCACCUGACGGCUGCGCGCUACGGUUUGUUAGCC
This 76-nucleotide small RNA is filed under the name Xanthomonas arboricola. RNAcentral describes it as "sRNA sX9". It matches the Rfam family "Xanthomonas sRNA sX9". Lineage: Bacteria; Pseudomonadati; Pseudomonadota; Gammaproteobacteria; Lysobacterales; Lysobacteraceae. The record is from RNAcentral.